RNAcentral lists this long non-coding RNA (232 nucleotides) under Capsicum annuum. RNAcentral describes it as "long non-coding RNA (CANN_LNC004392)". The record is from RNAcentral. Lineage: Eukaryota; Viridiplantae; Streptophyta; Magnoliopsida; Solanales; Solanaceae.
GUUUUUGGUUCUAUGGAACCCGAGACCUCACACUCUCAACCCACGGGGGAACACAAUGCUACUAGUAUCAUUUUGACUCGCCUUGAAGCUAUGUCCUGAGACAUGGCUAGGAUGACCGCGGGUAUUGAAAAACUAGACUCGGAUGUGGUAUCAAUGAAGGGUGAAGUGUCAAUAAUGGGUGGGAGAUUGGAGAGAGUGGAAAGCCAAAGAAUCCGACCUUCUACCCCUCGAC